GCAGGGGCCCUGCUUUUCGUCGUCUGUCAGACUGAUGGAGACUUCAGCUCGGCACCUGCUCGCAGAGGCAGCACAGAGAGGCAGCGGGACCAUGGCAGAAAGAGGACCCCCAGCUCCAGAUAAAGGAUGUUUCCAUCUCUCCCCACCAGGGACACAGCGGGGCGCUCCCGGGGGACUGGGGCAGACGUCCCAGCCGACUCAGCUGUGAUGCACCCUCUGGUCACAGGAAGAUAGGGACAGUCGGAGGGCCAGUGGCUUAGCGCUGGGGCGCACGGACACCCGGAGCUGCAUUACCUUCCCCGCACGUGUACCGUUUCUCCUCAUAGGAUGUAUCCGUGAACUCCAGGAGCAUGCGGAUGGCGUGCGCCAGCUGAGGGAGAAAGCCCCUCCCGGUCAGCGCCUGCGCGGCGCCCAGUUGACCACAACCCCCGCACGCCAACUGCCCCUUCCAAGGCUGUGGAGGCCGUGCAACCUGCCCAGGCGUAGUUAAGCGGCACGUCCACCACCUUCUCCCCCACCCGCCCGCCCCGAGAUGGGCCAAGGCAGCUUGGUAUCCUCAGCCCUCUCCGGGGCCCGCGAUCCCAGAGGCGGGAUGGGGUCGGCCCCCGUGGUCCUGGAGCUCGGCUGGGGCAGGCUGCUCCGUGGAGAGAGACGCGGGGGCCCUGAGUAGACCCCUUUUCUCAGAGGCCUCUGACUAUGAGACCCCGGCCGCCUCCACGACCGUCUCCCUAACCUAGUGGCUCUGAGGUCGAGACCGCACUCACCCCGCGAAUAUCCCAGUAACCCAGAACCAUGGUCGACUCGGACGACGACAUGAUGAUAUUUCCCCCGUGCAUUCGCGGACUGGCGGUGAACUGCGAACGCACGGGGCUUUAUAGCCCACGUAAGUAGGCGGAGCCAACGCGAGCUCUCUGGCUCCGCCCCCACCCGUCGCCCUUCCCCACAGCGAGUGUCCGAAAGCCGCGCGCGCGCAGUGCACCCUCUACACUUUCUGGGUUUGGAGGCUGGGCAGCGGAGGUGGCUGUUGGGUUUGGGGCUCUGCGCUCCCCCGCGGUGGAGUUGCUCUCACUUGGCUAAUAGUGCCGGUCAGGGCUGGAGGAGCAACAACGCAAGCGGUGAGGGCCCUGGUUAGUCCUGGAAAGUGAGUUUCAUGUCCUGGUUCUCCAGCAGCAGUGGGUGGGUGGGGAGGUAGAGGAGGUGAACAAACCCCAAGAGGUGAUCAAGGAAAUAUUCAACUUUUAAUGUGUGUGGGCUCUGCUCCUGGGCUCCCAGGGCAGCUCUACUUUUACCAAGGUCAGAAUGACUUCACCAAACUUCAAAGUGUGGGCUCUAUUUCUACCCUGAGCACACAUUGCACAUCUAAUUCAUUAGUAAAUAACCCAAAAGAAAUAUUUCAAAGAUAAGAAUAAAAACCUCCCUAAAUUCUGUUCUCAUACCUCCAAAGCCUGCAACCUUGACAUACUAAAAGCAUAAGACAAAGUUUGUGAUUUUCGGCAAUGUGCUUCAUCAUGAUGAUUUGUAACUGUUGAUGUAACAAAAACCCAUAUAUAACCCUGUAUUAAACAUUCCUUCUCAUGGGACACUCUCUUUGUGAGGAUUGUGUGUUCUGGGCAGCUGUCUUCCCUUGGGCUUGAAUAAAACUUUCUUCCUUUUUUAAA
This is a long non-coding RNA of Leopardus geoffroyi (Geoffroy's cat), 1658 nucleotides long. RefSeq lists it as uncharacterized. NCBI's taxonomy places the organism in Eukaryota, Metazoa, Chordata, Mammalia, Carnivora, Felidae. The transcript is spliced from 2 exons. The record is from RefSeq and is a predicted model, not a curated record.